Molecule: non-coding RNA, 126 nt
Filed under: Compsopogon caeruleus
Lineage: Eukaryota; Rhodophyta; Compsopogonophyceae; Compsopogonales; Compsopogonaceae
Source: RNAcentral
UGUGGUGAAGGAUACUGCUGCAGGGCCCGAACUUGUUCCCGUUGAUUGACGAGGUAACCACAAGCUCGUAAUUCAUGAGGGAACAGGUUCGCCUGUCACAAACGAAAGCGCGUCACCUCGAUCAAC